AGUUUUUUAUUAUAAUUAGUAUUUUUGAUUUCAAAUCAUAAGGAAAAAAAUUG
This 53-nucleotide transfer RNA is filed under the name Meloidogyne arenaria. RNAcentral's name for it is "tRNA-Trp". The record is from RNAcentral. Lineage: Eukaryota; Metazoa; Nematoda; Chromadorea; Rhabditida; Meloidogynidae.